AGUUGCUGGAAGUUUUAGAAGGAGCUAGAGGAUAAGAUUCCCUUCAAACCAAAUCUAUCAGCCCCUGUGACUCUUCCCACCUGAGGUACCAGAGGCAUGGAGCUACGGGGACAGCUCUUCAGCUGCUUGUUCUGUACCAUACUCCUAUCAGUGAUUCCCUGUUCAGGACAGAAAUAUCAGGGCUGGACUGCGCUGUUGAAGAAUGGAUUCACCACUGGGCAUGUGUCUUUAGAGCUGAAAAAUGUCCACCCAGCUGAAAGACUUCAAAAUGCAGCUGUACAUUCCCCUAACGAGUGGAGCACUGAAGUUGCAACCAAGCUUCAAAUUGCAGAAUUUAAAAAUGGUGAAACACUGAGCGAGAAAGGAAAGAAGACAGUAAGAUUUUCCCUCCCUGAAACCCC
This is a long non-coding RNA of Mauremys reevesii (Reeves's turtle), 401 nucleotides long. RefSeq lists it as uncharacterized. NCBI's taxonomy places the organism in Eukaryota, Metazoa, Chordata, Testudines, Geoemydidae. The record is from RefSeq and is a predicted model, not a curated record. The transcript is spliced from 4 exons.